This 265-nucleotide long non-coding RNA is filed under the name Struthio camelus australis. RNAcentral describes it as "lncRNA (ENSSCUG00000018775.1)". Lineage: Eukaryota; Metazoa; Chordata; Aves; Struthioniformes; Struthionidae. The record is from RNAcentral.
UUAGCAGUUUUGAAAAGUGUGGUUCCCUUCAUCCACAGGACAGUCACACAAGAAUGACUGCUAUAGUCUGCUUCUUUAUACGUUGCCUGCCUAAGCGCGUCAGUCCUGAUGCAUUGGAGUGAAGGGACAAAAAGAGUAGUUUCACAGACGUGGGAGUGGAGGAAAAAAUUGUAUUAUCUCUACAAGAAUGGAUGGGAUGAUGAAAACCCAGGAGCAUAGCUAAGGGAAGGGUUGAGCAGAUUAGAGCUCUUUUGAAAGAAAAGCU